CACACGACUCUCGGCAACGGAUAUCUCGGCUCUCGCAUCGAUGAAGAACGUAGCGAAAUGCGAUACCUGGUGUGAAUUGCAGAAUCCCGCGAACCAUCGAGUCUUUGAACGCAAGUUGCGCCCGAGGCCAUCCGGCCGAGGGCACGCCUGCCUGGGCGUCACGCC
Molecule: ribosomal RNA, 165 nt
Filed under: Eremitis parviflora
Lineage: Eukaryota; Viridiplantae; Streptophyta; Magnoliopsida; Poales; Poaceae
Description: 5.8S ribosomal RNA
Rfam family: 5.8S ribosomal RNA
About the family: 5.8S ribosomal RNA (5.8S rRNA) is a component of the large subunit of the eukaryotic ribosome. It is transcribed by RNA polymerase I as part of the 45S precursor that also contains 18S and 28S rRNA.
Source: RNAcentral